RNAcentral lists this ribosomal RNA (471 nucleotides) under uncultured organism. RNAcentral's name for it is "partial 16S ribosomal RNA". It matches the Rfam family "Bacterial small subunit ribosomal RNA", at positions 334 to 797 of the family's 1533-position model. The record is from RNAcentral.
CACUCCUACGGGAGGCAGCAGUGGGGAAUUUUGGACAAUGGGCGAAAGCCUGAUCCAGCAAUGCCGCGUGUGUGAAGAAGGCCUUCGGGUUGUAAAGCACUUUUGUCCGGAAAGAAAUCCUUGGCUCUAAUACAGUCGGGGGAUGACGGUACCGGAAGAAUAAGCACCGGCUAACUACGUGCCAGCAGCCGCGGUAAUACGUAGGGUGCGAGCGUUAAUCGGAAUUACUGGGCGUAAAGCGUGCGCAGGCGGUUUGCUAAGACCGAUGUGAAAUCCCCGGGCUCAACCUGGGAACUGCAUUGGUGACUGGCAGGCUAGAGUAUGGCAGAGGGGGGUAGAAUUCCACGUGUAGCAGUGAAAUGCGUAGAGAUGUGGAGGAAUACCGAUGGCGAAGGCAGCCCCCUGGGCCAAUACUGACGCUCAUGCACGAAAGCGUGGGGAGCAAACAGGAUUAGAAACCCUAGUAGUCCC